CCUACGGGUGGCAGCAGUGAGGAAUAUUGGUCAAUGGGCGCGAGCCUGAACCAGCCAAGUCGCGUGAGGGAAGACGGCCCUACGGGUUGUAAACCUCUUUUGCCGGGGAGCAACGGGCGCCACGUGUGGCGCCACGGAGAGGACCCGGAGAAAAAGCAGCGGCUAACUCCGUGCCAGCAGCCGCGGUAAUACGGAGGAUGCGAGCGUUAUCCGGAUUUAGUGGGUUUACAGGGUGCGUAGGCGGAGCGUUAAUUCAGUGGUCAACUUGAGGGGCUCAACCCCUUCCCGCCAUUGAAACGGGCAGUCUUGCGUACAGUAGAGGUGGGCGGAUUUCGUGGUGUCGCGGU
RNAcentral lists this ribosomal RNA (347 nucleotides) under uncultured bacterium. Its description in RNAcentral is "partial 16S ribosomal RNA". It matches the Rfam family "Bacterial small subunit ribosomal RNA", at positions 338 to 682 of the family's 1533-position model. The record is from RNAcentral.